Molecule: ribosomal RNA, 389 nt
Filed under: uncultured bacterium
Lineage: Bacteria
Description: bacterial SSU rRNA
Rfam family: Bacterial small subunit ribosomal RNA
Source: RNAcentral
UGCCAGACUCCUACGGGAGGCAGCAGUGGGGAAUAUUGGACAAUGGGGGGAACCCUGACCCAGCGACGCCGCGUGAGUGAAGAAGUAUUUCGGUAUGUAAAGCUCUAUCAGCAGGGAAGAAAGAAAUGACGGUACCUGACUAAGAAGCCCCGGCUAACUACGCGCCAGCAGCCGCGGUAAUACGUAGGGGGCAAGCGUUAUCCGGGUUUACUGGGUGUAAAGGGAGCGUAGGCGGCUAUGCAAGUCUGGAGUGAAAGGCGGGGGCCCAACCCCCGGACUGCUCUGGAAACUGUUGAUCUAGAGUGGAGGAGAAGUAAGUGGAAUUCCUAGUGUAGCGGUGAAAUGCGUAGAUAUUAGGAGGAACACCAGUGGCGAAGGCGGCUUACUGG